Molecule: ribosomal RNA, 497 nt
Filed under: uncultured bacterium
Lineage: Bacteria
Description: partial 16S ribosomal RNA
Rfam family: Bacterial small subunit ribosomal RNA
Source: RNAcentral
GAUGAACGCUGGCGGCGUGCCUAAUACAUGCAAGUCGAGCGAACAGAUGAGGAGCUUGCUCCUCUGACGUUAGCGGCGGACGGGUGAGUAACACGUGGAUAACCUACCUAUAAGACUGGGAUAACUUCGGGAAACCGGAGCUAAUACCGGAUAAUAUAUUGAACCGCAUGGUUCAAUAGUGAAAGACGGUUUUGCUGUCACUUAUAGAUGGAUCCGCGCCGCAUUAGCUAGUUGGUAAGGUAACGGCUUACCAAGGCAACGAUGCGUAGCCGACCUGAGAGGGUGAUCGGCCACACUGGAACUGAGACACGGUCCAGACUCCUACGGGAGGCAGCAGUAGGGAAUCUUCCGCAAUGGGCGAAAGCCUGACGGAGCAACGCCGCGUGAGUGAUGAAGGUCUUCGGAUCGUAAAACUCUGUUAUUAGGGAAGAACAAAUGUGUAAGUAACUAUGCACGUCUUGAGGGUACCUAAUCAGAAAGCCACGGCUAACUACGUG